AACACAAUAUCACACACCUAUACCCCCCUCCAAAAAAAAAAAAAUUUGACCCCCAAAAAAUUACCCUCAUUUCAAGUAAAAGAGCCCUAAAUUUUCAUAAAAAAAAAAGCAAAAAAAAACGCAAAAACACCAAAAUUUUCUUACUCCCAAAAAAAUUUUUUUUUUACUUUGGAAAAAAACGUUAUUAAAAACACCCAAAAAACAACAAAAAAAUUCCAAAAAAAAAAUAAAUAAAAAAACCGGGAGAACAGGCGAAGAAAGAAUUCUGUGGGAUUUAAGAGAAAAAAUAAUUUCCCCAGUGCGCCCCAACCUUGAUUUUUAAUUAAUUUUAUCAAUAUAGUCUAGUAAUAAAACGGAUCAAUACGACUACAACUUCAAUUGCUUUUUACAUUUGUGAAGUGUUAUAAACUAAAUCGAUCAUUGAAAAUAUUUACAUGGUUGUCAAGAGUAUGUUUACAUGUUGCCUAGAUAACGUUGUCAUCACAUGUAAACAUAUAGCAGACUGGUGCGGUCUUUCGUUUCAAAUUAACAGUGGUGAGAAGACGUGAAUUAAUGUUUCAAGAAAGUAAUUCUACAAAAGAAAUACAAAUGGAAAUUCAAGAGUGUCAGGCGCAGCCUCAACCACAGAACUGGCCAUGGAGUUUAGAAGAAAGUAACAUUUUGAUAGAAAAUAUUUAUUACUAUCAGAGAAUGAUUGAGACAAUCGAAAGAGCUAAGAGUUUGGGACCGGUUAAACUUCCAAAAGCUCCGAAAAGAAAGGUGCAGGACUUAUUUAAAGAAAAACUGGGAAAGAAAAAAAAGCAAACUAUCCCGACGACCCCUGAAGAACUUCACACCUUUCUAAGAAGCAGAAAGGCGGAUUUAUCAAAGACAAUUUCGAGGCAGAAGUUUAUUUUUAAUAGUGAAAAAGACCCUGUUAAACAGUUACAAGAAGCAUACAAACACUUGGGAAGACAUAACGCCCAAGGUAUGCUGUUUAACAUUACUUUCGGUGAUUUCCUUAAUGAUUUGAGAGACUGGUUUCUUUCGGCAAAGGUCAAUACAACGUGGGACACAUGGUUAUCAUCUAAGAUAGAUAUAUCUAUACCUCAUGCUCGGAAAUUAAGACAACUUGCUAAUCUACUUAAAGGAUUUAAAGGUUUUCUGAACAUUAAUGUUUCAAUCAAUGAUAUUCUUUCAAAACAAGAACUUAUCAAACAAAUGUUAGCAAUUGAUCAGUUUGCCACCUUUUGGAGACAGGUAGACUAUAUUCCAGCAGAUGAUGAACUUACUCCGUCACAAGAAGUUUGAUAUGUAUGUGAUAUUGUAUUCCAUAUAAGGAGUGAUCAUACAUGAUCAGUAGGUGGGACAUAGUAACGGUUAUUCAUAACCGGGUAACUUUUAGUGGAUGUGACAGUUCUAACUUUGAACAGUGAUAUUAUGUUUAUAGUGUUUGAUUUGUAUGUAUUCAUUGCACUUUUGUUUUCAAAUUAAAAUUUUGAAACUGA
Molecule: long non-coding RNA, 1487 nt
Organism: Mytilus californianus (California mussel)
Lineage: Eukaryota; Metazoa; Mollusca; Bivalvia; Mytilida; Mytilidae
Exons: 2
Source: RefSeq, a predicted model, not a curated record